RNAcentral lists this ribosomal RNA (647 nucleotides) under uncultured Actinomycetales bacterium. Its description in RNAcentral is "bacterial SSU rRNA". It matches the Rfam family "Bacterial small subunit ribosomal RNA", at positions 91 to 752 of the family's 1533-position model. The record is from RNAcentral. Lineage: Bacteria; Bacillati; Actinomycetota; Actinomycetes; Actinomycetales.
UCGAGUGGCGAACGGGUGAGUAACACGUGGGUGAUCUGCCCUGCACUUCGGGAUAAGCCUGGGAAACUGGGUCUAAUACCGGAUAGGAGCCAUUUUUAGUGUGAUGGUUGGAAAGUUUUUUCGGUGUAGGAUGAGCUCGCGGCCUAUCAGCUUGUUGGUGGGGUAAUGGCCUACCAAGGCGGCGACGGGUAGCCGGCCUGAGAGGGUGGACGGCCACAUUGGGACUGAGAUACGGCCCAGACUCCUACGGGAGGCAGCAGUGGGGAAUAUUGCACAAUGGGCGCAAGCCUGAUGCAGCGACGCCGCGUGGGGGAUGACGGCCUUCGGGUUGUAAACUCCUUUCGCUAGGGACGAAGCUUUUUGUGACGGUACCUAGAUAAGAAGCACCGGCUAACUACGUGCCAGCAGCCGCGGUAAUACGUAGGGUGCGAGCGUUGUCCGGAAUUACUGGGCGUAAAGGGCUCGUAGGUGGUUUGUCGCGUCGUCUGUGAAAUUCCGGGGCUUAACUCCGGGCGUGCAGGCGAUACGGGCAUAACUUGAGUACUGUAGGGGUAACUGGAAUUCCUGGUGUAGCGGUGAAAUGCGCAGAUAUCAGGAGGAACACCGAUGGCGAAGGCAGGUUACUGGGCAGUUACUGACGCUGAGGA